Molecule: non-coding RNA, 29 nt
Filed under: Bombyx mori (domestic silkworm)
Lineage: Eukaryota; Metazoa; Arthropoda; Insecta; Lepidoptera; Bombycidae
Source: RNAcentral
GCAACCGGAAUGCGAAUUUGCGAUGUGGC